ACGCUCGACACCUACGGGAGGGCAGCAGUGGGGAAUAUUGCACAAUGGGGGAAACCCUGAUGCAGCGACGCCGCGUGAGCGAAGAAGUAUUUCGGUAUGUAAAGCUCUAUCAGCAGGGAAGAAAAUGACGGUACCUGACUAAGAAGCCCCGGCUAACUACGUGCCAGCAGCCGCGGUAAUCUGAGCGGGCUGGCAAGGC
RNAcentral lists this ribosomal RNA (199 nucleotides) under uncultured bacterium. RNAcentral describes it as "partial 16S ribosomal RNA". It matches the Rfam family "Bacterial small subunit ribosomal RNA", at positions 328 to 539 of the family's 1533-position model. The record is from RNAcentral.